UGAACGACUCUGAUGACAAGUUGAAAAUAGAAAGCUAUCCUUAUACCACAUGUUAGAAGCAGAUGUACGUGGCGCCGACGAGACGUCUCACGACCGAUUAAAAGAAGUUAGGACUCGGCAGCCUGGCAAUCAAAUCACGCCUCUCCCUCCCGUUGCUUUAAUCGUCUUCCACCAUUAGUCUAUCCUCCUUCAUCAAAGCUAUGAAAAAUAAAAGAAAAGAAAGGAAAAAAACCCUCUCUUUUGUUCCUGGAAGCUACAGAGCUGAGAAUGGGAAUUCCAUGAGAAAUGAGGGAUGUUUGGGUACAGAGAAGAAGAAAUUCUUUCCUAAUCCCUUCUCCUGCUGAAAACGAGAAAAAAUUGAGGGCUGAGCGAUUCUUUCAAGAAGGAGUUCGUGCUGGUCUCAAGGCUGCUGCCAUUGCCGCUGUAGUUAGUGCUGUGCCUACAUUCGUAAGAUCCCUUGGGCAAGGGCAAACCUCAACCAUACUGCUCAAGCUCUUAUCAUCAGUGGAGUUGUAGCUCCAACCCUUGAAUCAUCCGGUGAAGUGAUUUUUUUUCAUUUAGUACUUCUAGGCCAUGAGUAGCAGGAACAAAUUGCUUUGCACCAAAUUGCCUAAGCCCAAUCAACGGAGCGUAACUCAUAAUACCUUAUAACCCUAACAACGGUAUCCACGGCUCGUUUCCUUCAUGAGACAUCCAAGGCGUCAUCCAUUCAAUUUCAUCCUUGGUAAGCCUUCGUAAGAAAAGGACCUACUCUUAUUUAAUCUUCAAUGUUGGCUUUCGACUUUUGCAGAACUCUUUAAUUGGUGUUUUAUUUUAAAGAUACGGCUUUGAGAAAGUACUCUUCUCGCACUUGAAAUGACUUAUAACCCACACAUAUAAUAGCAAUGUACAUCUUAUGAACUGUGAUUUUUCAUUUUGUCGAUAAAAAUUCAAUGACAUGAUGGUUUCAACUAGGACUACUGGAGUGGGAUUAAUUGUUUGGGUUUCAAUUUGCUAAAAAAAGUCUAUCACAGUUAUUUCAAUGUACCUUAAAGUCUUCAAAAAUAUUAUCAUACCAUACAAUGCUAAAACAAACGCAUCCAUACCUUGAUCAUCAUUUAAAUGUCCCUGAAUGAAGUUUUAAAGAAAGUUCCAACGGAUGCCGAAAUGUUCACCUUUAAGCUUGCGAAUGGAUCAAUGGUUUCCAUUUUAACUCCCAUAAGUUUGAUCAACUUUUUGCGAUAACCUGAUUUCGACUUUUGAGUAAACACUUUAUCUGGACACUGUAGUUCUGUUCCAAGCAAAAUCGAAUACUCUUUAAUAGUUGGCACCAAAUCUUCUUGAUUAAAAGUGAAGCAUUUAUAGGAUGGAUCUCAAAACUGUAUAACUGUCCUGAUCGGUUAUUCAUCGAUCACUACUGGAAUGAGGGAUGCAAUCUGUCUAUAUUUCUUACAAAAGCUUUUUUUUCUUUUUUCAUUUAACUGAUCUUAGAUGAUGGUUAAGUCUUCUAAAUCAUUUUAUGUGAGAUCCAAAUGCACCUUCUCGGGUAACUCAAACACAUGAUCGGUAGGCAAACAAUCUUCACUCUUUUGGUGGGUUUCUUUUGACCAAACAUGUACAUUAUGCGGUUUACAUGAGACACUGACUGAAGAUGAGCAAAUUUAUAGUUCUAUGGGAUCCAUGAAAACUUCUUGGGAGAAAUAUGUCCUCGAGCAA
Molecule: RNA transcript, 1695 nt
Organism: Durio zibethinus
Lineage: Eukaryota; Viridiplantae; Streptophyta; Magnoliopsida; Malvales; Malvaceae
Source: RefSeq, a predicted model, not a curated record